MicroRNA precursor from Oryza sativa Indica Group (long-grained rice), 205 nucleotides. It matches the Rfam family "MIR812 microRNA precursor family". Lineage: Eukaryota; Viridiplantae; Streptophyta; Magnoliopsida; Poales; Poaceae. The record is from Rfam.
AAAAGGCAAAACCCUGGGUUUCCGUGUCCAACUUUAACUGUCCGUCUUAUAUAAAAUUUUUUUAUAAUUCAUAUUUUCAUUGUUGUUAGAUGAUAAAACAUGAUUAAUAUUUUAUGUGUGACUUGUCUUUUAAAUUUUUUUCAUAAUUUUUUUAAAUAAGACGAACGGUUAAACGUUGGGCACGGAAACUAGGGUUUGUCUUUUU